RNAcentral lists this ribosomal RNA (500 nucleotides) under uncultured bacterium. Its description in RNAcentral is "partial 16S ribosomal RNA". It matches the Rfam family "Bacterial small subunit ribosomal RNA", at positions 32 to 507 of the family's 1533-position model. The record is from RNAcentral.
AAUCAACGCUGGCGGCGUGCCUAACACAUGCAAGUCGAACGCGAAAGCCCCGCAAGGGGUAAGUAGAGUGGCAAACGGGUGAGUAACACGUGGGUGACCUGCCUUCGAGUGGGGGAUAACGUCCCGAAAGGGACGCUAAUACCGCAUGACAUCCUGCUUUUGAAAAAGCGGAGAUCAAAGCUGGGGAUCGCAAGACCUAGCGCUUGAAGAGGGGCCCGCGCCUGAUUAGCUAGUUGGUGAGGUAACGGCUCACCAAGGCGACGAUCAGUAUCCGGCCUGAGAGGGCGGACGGACACACUGGGACUGAGACACGGCCCAGACUCCUACGGGAGGCAGCAGUGGGGAAUUGUUCGCAAUAGGCGCAAGCCUGACGACGCAACGCCGCGUGGAGGACGAAGAUCUUCGGGUCGUAAACUCCGGUCGAGCGGGACGAACGCUUCGCGGAUGAAUAAUCCGCGGAAUUGACGGUACCGCUAAAGGAAGCCCCGGCUAACUCCGUG